Molecule: ribosomal RNA, 532 nt
Filed under: uncultured bacterium
Lineage: Bacteria
Description: bacterial SSU rRNA
Rfam family: Bacterial small subunit ribosomal RNA
Source: RNAcentral
UCGGCUUAGAGUUUGAUCCUGGCUCAGAACGAACGCUGGCGGCGUACUUAACACGUGCAAGUCGAACGCGAAAUUGCUCCUUCGGGAGCAAGAGUAAAGUGGCGCACGGGUGAGUAACGCGUAGGUAAUCUACCCUCGGGUCUGGAAUAACUCCGCGAAAGCGGUGCUAAUACCGGAUAAUAUUCAUCGGAGGGAUCCGGUGAAUCAAAGGUGGCCUCUCCUUGGAAGCUACCGCUUGAGGAUGAGCCCGCGUCUCAUUAGCUUGUUGGUGGGGUAAUGGCCUACCAAGGCUUUGAUGGGUAGCCGGCUUGAGAGGGUGAACGGCCACAUUGGCACUGGAACACGGGCCAGACUCCUACGGGAGGCAGCAGUGAGGAAUAUUGCGCAAUGGGCGAAAGCCUGACGCAGCAACGCCGCGUGAGCGAUGAAGGCCUCCGGGUUGUAAAGCUCUGUCAGCGGGGACGAAUCCCCUUCCGGGUAAAUAGUCCGGAAGACUGACGGUACCCGCAAAGGAAGCCCCGGCUAACUCUCC